UGGAAUGAGCUAUAGAAUAUUGGAGUGAAUGAAGGACACAGUGUAUUUCAGUGAGUUAUAUGCGAAGAAUUGAAGAACUGGAGGACUUUUAGGGUAAUUACUGGGAAAAUAUGAACACCAGAACUCUUCUGUGAUUAUGAGACAAAGGUGAGGAAACUAAGGUACAGAAAGGAGGAGUGACUUGCCUGAGAUCAAAUAAACCUGGGGACAGAAUCAUGACUAAAAUAUAUGUUUCCUAACUCCCAUUCCAAUCAGCAGUGAGUGGAAGUUUGCAGUCAGAGGCUCAAUGAAAAAGCAUUUUGUCUUGUUCCCUGCUGGAAAAUAGAUUGAUGACAAGUCCAAGUCAAUGGACAGCCAAGCCCACAGAACGAUGUCACUUGUAUUUUCUGGGCAGAGUGUCUUAUAGCAACACCUACAAAAUGUUACUCAGAGGCAUUUAAAGCUCUCAGCCCUGAUCCAUGCACUGAAAAAGAAGCAGCAGCUCCCUUUGAGAGUAUAAUGGGGUCUUUCAAG
Molecule: long non-coding RNA, 513 nt
Organism: Phascolarctos cinereus (koala)
Lineage: Eukaryota; Metazoa; Chordata; Mammalia; Diprotodontia; Phascolarctidae
Source: RefSeq, a predicted model, not a curated record